CUUUAGACGGUAGGGUAUUGGCCUACCGUGGCUAUGACGGGUAACGGGGAAUUAGGGUUCGAUUCCGGAGAGGGAGCCUGAGAAACGGCUACCACAUCUAAGGAAGGCAGCAGGCGCGCAAAUUACCCAAUCCUAAUACAGGGAGGUAGUGACAAGAAAUAACAAUACAGAACCUUACGGUUUUGUAAUUGGAAUGAGUUAAGUAUAAACCCCUUAACAAGUAUCAAUUGGAGGGCAAGUCUGGUGCCAGCAGCCGCGGUAAUUCCAGCUCCAAUAGCGUAUAUUAAAGUUGUUGCAGUUAAAAAGCUCGUAGUUAAUCUUCUGUUAAUUUUUAUAUAUAAUAUCUCGAUAUUUAUAUAAUAUUAACAUAAUUCAUAUUACUUUUUAGUAUAUGAAACUUUACUUUGAGAAAAUUAGAGUGCUUAAAGCAGGCUAUUGCCUUGAAUACUCCAGCAUGGAAUAAUAUUAAGGAUUUUUAUUCUUCUUAUUGGUUCUAGAAUAAAAAUGAUGAUUAAUAGGAACAGUUGGGGGCAUUUGUAUUUAACAGUCAGAGGUGAAAUUCUUAG
This 566-nucleotide ribosomal RNA is filed under the name Cryptosporidium xiaoi. RNAcentral's name for it is "SSU rRNA". It matches the Rfam family "Eukaryotic small subunit ribosomal RNA", at positions 319 to 923 of the family's 1831-position model. The record is from RNAcentral. Lineage: Eukaryota; Apicomplexa; Conoidasida; Eucoccidiorida; Cryptosporidiidae.